ACUCAAAUGAAUAGACGGGGGCCCGCACAAGCGGUGGAGCAUGUGGUUUAAUUCGAUGCAACGCGAAGAACCUUACCAGGUCUUGACAUCCAUGGGAUCUAUAUGAAAGUAUGGAGUGCCUUCGGGAGCUAUGAGACAGGUGGUGCAUGGUUGUCGUCAGCUCGUGUCGUGAGAUGUUGGGUUAAGUCCCGCAACGAGCGCAACCCUUGCUAUUAGUUGCUAACAGGUAAAGCUGAGCCCUCUAAUGGAACUGCCCGUGACAAGCGGGAGGAAGGUGGGGACGACGUCAAAUCAUCAUGCCCUUUAUGAUCUGGGCUACACACGUGCUACAAUGGAUGGUACAGAGAGCUGCAAUGUCGUGAGGCGGAGCGAAUCUCAAAAAGCCAUUCACAGUUCGGAUUGCAGUCUGCAACUCGACUGCAUGAAGUCGGAAUCGCUAGUAAUCGCGAAUCAGCAUGUCGCGGUGAAUGCGUUCCCGGGCCUUGUACACACCGCCCGU
This 499-nucleotide ribosomal RNA is filed under the name uncultured bacterium. Its description in RNAcentral is "bacterial SSU rRNA". It matches the Rfam family "Bacterial small subunit ribosomal RNA", at positions 899 to 1397 of the family's 1533-position model. The record is from RNAcentral.